GGCACAAGCUUUCUGUUAUUUUAUACUUUGACCCCAGAAGUUUUAUUAUUAUACAAAUUUAACCAGUUACUAACUCCCACUGUCUAGAAACUGGCGAGCGUUACGGCGACGAGACGUCGUCUGAAUCUGAUUACGCACCGAUUUGCAUAUACAUACAGACAAUACGUAUCGACAAGGAGAGAGCACGAGCAUAAAGACAGAGAAGGGUGAAAUGGGAGACCAGAAACUAAAAUGGACAUGGGAUGAAGAGGGUGCGUUGCUCGCCGGAAUUGCAAAGCACGGCGCCGGGAGGUGGAAGAACACCCUACGUGAUCCCGAGUUCUCUGAUCAGCUCAUCAAUCGCUCCAACAUCGACCUCAAGGUCUGAUCCUAUGUCAGUUGAACUGGAGCUUUGAGGUAGAAAGAACAGUUCUUUAACGGAUGAGUUACUAGUUCUCAGGUAUGAUGGGAUAAUAUUUGAAGCUCUCUCUGCUUUGGCGGAUGCAAAUGGAUCUGAUGUUGGUUCCAUUUUUCAGCUUCGUCGAGGUGAACUCUACAUGUAAGUCUUAGGCAGCAUCUUGGUCAGGACAUAUUACAUCCUUGUUCUGUUAAUUAAUCCAAGUGCCGCCAAAUUUCAGAAGAGUCCUUAGUUCAAGACUGCGUAGGCUUGCAGCUCAGGGAAAACUUUCAAAUGUUAGCAACUCAAAAUCUUUACUGAACUUCUAUAAGAUACCAGAUAGAUCAGAAACAACAACAAGAACAACACCUGCCCCAAAACUAAAAAGAGACAAAUAUAAAACCCCGGCAACCUCGGUUUCACAAGAGAUGAUCGAUGAAGCUGCAAUAACAGCUGCGUGUAAAAGUUGUAGAGACAGAAUCAAAUAUACGUUGCUAAAGUAGAAGUGGAAGAGUUGGAGAAGUUGACCGAACUUGCGGAAGAAACUGAUCUUCUGUAGGAGUUGGCUAAAGGGAUACAUGAACAAUGUAAAAACCAAGACUUAGCUCAUUAUCUCAUUCUUCAUACACAUUAGGAAACAAGCUAAAACAAAAUAUCCAUGGGGUUUUAUCCAUGAUGUACUUUCAAAUAACAUGAAAAAAAUAUAUAUCCACAAGAGUAUAUUUUAGUGAAGGUUUUAGUUGAUAAAAAAAAAUCCACAUGAGUGUAGA
Raphanus sativus (radish) is the source of this 1146-nucleotide long non-coding RNA. RefSeq lists it as uncharacterized. The transcript is spliced from 5 exons. The record is from RefSeq and is a predicted model, not a curated record. Lineage: Eukaryota; Viridiplantae; Streptophyta; Magnoliopsida; Brassicales; Brassicaceae.